Molecule: long non-coding RNA, 6395 nt
Filed under: Sus scrofa (pig)
Lineage: Eukaryota; Metazoa; Chordata; Mammalia; Artiodactyla; Suidae
Description: lncRNA (ENSSSCG00040001239.1)
Source: RNAcentral
UAAUUUUAAGGCCUUCAAGAGGUAUAAUCCAGUCAAGAGUUCAGGAAAAUUUCAGACCCAGUCAUUCAUUUUAUCUUUGCCACCUAACUUUUAUGUAGCUACAUCUUGAUCUGUAAUAACCCGUAAAAUAUCUGCAAACUAAACGCUAGACUGAAUCUAUAUUAACAUUCUGUCAGAUAAUAAUCAAUGGUAUCAUGAUAAUAAAAAGGUCACGUUGAGUUUAAAUACCAUUUCCAGUGUUUCAUAAAAAGUUCUAAAAAGGUCUCUUACCUGCAGUGAACAACCAUAGGGGUGGUGUCAUGUGCUCUGCUCGCUCGAACCAGCUUCACGAAGUGAACUAGAGCAGCACUGCUUUCAGGAACCCCAUGUUCAGGCCAAGCUGUAAAAUUACACUGUCGAAUGGCCAUGCAGUCCCCAUGCUGGACAAAUGAGAGAUGAUCUAAGUAUCGAAAUGAAGUUUGAGGAUAGCUGACUUCCCAGCGUUUCGAGGUGGUCUUUUAAAAUGCCUCUUGGGGAACAGAAGAAACUGUGUUUUCACGAUUUCCUAUGAGGGAGGGCAUCUACUGCUACCGUUAAAACGUUGCCCUCAGUGUGAAUGCACCUGUGAGAAGGCUUGCCGACAGAUGCUGACGCAGGGAUGUACAUUCAGAUGUAACGUAACGCCAGUGCCAGAAGACUAGAUUUUGAACAAUUUUGACCUAACCGCUUAAACAGAUACACUAAUUAUUCAAAACACAGGCACUGAGUAUCUGAUAAUAUCAGAAAGUAUAAAGAUCCUUGUAUCAUUUUCUGCGUGUACAGGCAUUUUUAUUAUAUAAGCGGGAGCCUAUCCUACUUCUUAUGUACCCGUUCUGGAUUAAAUAGAAAAGACAGUUAGGCUGUAGAUGGAGACACGAGAUUUGGGAAAUUCCUGUUUUAAGUCAAACAUUGCAGUUUCUUUAAAAAAUAAGAUAAACAGUGAUCUAGUUGUUUCCUUUGCCCUCUAAGAAUUUAGUUCUUAGUUAAUAAAUGGUUAAUAAAAACUUUAUCUAAUUUGGAAUUAAACACAGUGACAGACAUUGAAGACAGAUGCCGAUUCAAAACUUCUAUUUAGAAGAUAAUAGAAAAGCAGUACUAAAUAUGGAGUAAUCAAGGAAUACCUCUAGAAAUUAGUUUCAGUUUAGACAUUUAGAACAUUCAUAUUUUCUAUCAUGUUUGAUUUCUAUUUUUUUUACCCGUUCAAUUUUCAGAUCUCUGAUGGUCCAGUCUAUCUGAACAUCCUCCAUUAGCUUUGUAAUCACUAUAUCGCCAAAGACAGUAACUGGUUUAUUGUCCUCUGGCCAAUACUGAUGGCAUCUGAUCUGUAUUCAGAGAAAAUCACCAGUCAUAAGCAAUGUUAUACUGAGAUAUAUAAUAGAUACACAGAUGUAGAUAGAUAUAAUAAAUAUAUAUCUCACUGUGGCCACUACUAAGUUUAAACUGCCCUAGAGAUGUCCAAGUCAUUGGUGACUCAAGUAUUAGCUGGAAUUGCCACACAUAUAUUAACACAAUUAUAAAAUAACAUUCUGUGAAAAGAUUUUCAAAUAACUUACCCGUCCUUUUUCAAAACACUGUGUUAGCAUAACUAAUGUUUUUGCUCUAGUUUCCCACACCAUUCUCCAAAAAUCCCCAACUGUUCCUGGUAAUGGACCUUGAGUAGCAAUAAAUUCAUUUGGACAUAAGUAGCCCUGGAAUGAUAUGAUUAUAGCAUCACAUCAGUAUUUACACACAUACACAUACAUAUAGUAUUUUUUUAGUUUUUGAGCAACACACAGAAGAUAUACUAGUGGUAAGAUGACCGCUUCUUUUAAAAUAUUGUGUAUUUUUGAAUACUAAAUAGUAUUAGAUACUUAAAUUUUCCAACAAUUUUAGCAGUGUGAUAUACUGUACAACUAAGUUUCUAAAAUUUAUUUCUGAUUUUGGAAAAAACAAUAAAGACUAGAUAAUAAUAAUACCACUUUACGGCAGACAAAUAUGCGAAGCCUCUUAUAGUUAAUAUUUCAUUUAAUUAGUUUCUUAUAAAAACUUUGUGAACUAAUACCAUUAUUAUCCUUAUAAUACAAAUGAAGAUACUGAAGCUGAAAAAUAUGAAGAAAUUUGCUGAGGGUCUCAUAGUUGGAAAGAUAGUCUGAGUCCAGAGCCAGCUCUUACCCACUCCACUAAGUUACUGUCACCUGUCUAUGGAUUGUGCAGAUGUUUCCUGCUCUUCCUCUAAGAAAUGAGUUAUCUGUGUAAACUACGGCAUUGGUAUGUAUUCUCCAGAUCUCCAAACCAAGAGUAAUCUGGAGAUAGUAAGAAGGUUCAUUUAACUAACAUAGGGCCUGAGAUUGUCUCAACCCUACUAUGACAGGUUUUUUGGUUGUUGUUUUGUUUUUUGUUUGUUUGCUUUUUAGGGCCACAAUCGCGGCAUAUGGAGAUUCCCAGGCUAGGGGUUGAAUCAGAGCUGUAGCCACUGGCCUACGCCACAGCCACAGCCAUGCCGGAACCAAGCUGCGACUGUGACCUAUACCACAGCUCCAGCAACACUGGAUCCUUAACCCACUGGGCAAAGGUCAGGGAUUGAACCCACAACCUCAUGGAUACUAGUUGGAUUCAUCUCCACUGCGCCACAACGGGAACUCCUGACAGUUCUACAUAUUUUAUCAAAUUGUCCUAAAACUUGGUCCAUUCACCUAGAAUGUAAGCAUGCCACUUGAGUGGUAUCUGUGGAUUUUUCUUAAAGUUACUGUAAAAAUAAAAAAAAAUAGUUAUAGAAUUAAAAUUAUUCUAAGCAUCAAAAUAUUUUAGGGAAUGGGGAUUAAAGGUGAAUUUUAUUUUUAAUUUGGAAUUGUCUCAGUAGCCAGAGAAUAUAGUGUUACACAAAAAUAAUACACAUUUGAAAGUUCAAGGGGCUCUAAAACUAAAUCCAACCAGUUUGUUUUACUUUAAAGAAUACUGAGCCACUUUAGGUGAUUUUGCCAAAUCACGGUGCUAGCCAGUGACAGUUUCUGGGAUAAAAUCUAAUUUCUUAGACUAUAUGCCAAAGCAUUUCUUUGUUUCCAGUCUUAGUUGAAAUACUUGAGGAUGUAAUUAUUUUACAUUUGUUAAGUUUUUUUUUAGGUUAAAAAGUAAUAUAUAGUCAAUGUAGAUUAUUUGAAAAAUUCAGAAAAUUAUAUAAGAGAAUGUGGAAUUAGUCUGUAAUGUCAUUUCCAGAAUGAAGUACCUUGAGUACCAGGCACUGUUCUACCAUCUGAGGAUUCAUCACUGACCAAAAAAACCACUAAAAUUCCUAUACUCAUUUAUCUUAUAUUCUAAUUAGGGGAAAUAUAUGUUGUCUAUUAGUAAGUCUGUUAAAUAAACAAUUUACAUAGAGUUUUAUAAGUAAAAAGUGCUAUGAGAGGGAGUUUUAAGAAAAUAGAGUAUUCAGAAAAGACACUGGUGAAAUCUCAGGAAAGACUUAAAGAAGGGAGUAAGCCCUUCAAGUUUGGAGGAAAAGUGUUCCAGGUAGAAAGAAAGUCAAGUGUAACAGCCUUAAAGGAGAGGUGUGUCUGGAAUGUUCUAAGAACAGCAAGUGUCUGGGGUGGGGUGAGAGAGUAAUAAAAGAUGGCAUCGGAAAGAACAAGGGACAGAGGACAAUGGUGCUUGAGAUCCCAGAAUAGGUAGUUAUAGGAAUUUGGGUUUCGUUCUGAAUGAUAUGGAAAGCCCUUAUAGAGAGUGUAGGAUUUAAGAGUUUCACCCUGGUUUCUGUAAAACCAGCCUCUAGGGGUUUAAAGGAGAAAAGAGAGUCUGAAGGAGUUAGGUUAUUGCAAUAAUCAGCUAAGGUUGUUACUUUGGGUAAUAGCGAUGGGGAGUGUGAGCAGUGCUAAGAUCUGGAUUUAUUCUGAGGGCGGAGCCAAGAGAAUUUGCUGAUGGAUUGGAUGACAAAUAGAAGAGUCAAUAAUGAUUCCUGAUGAACAUGAGGAAGACUUCAGGAUGAGCCCAUUUAGAAGGAGAAUCAAAACUUCGUAGUGGAUAUUUUGAACUUGAAAUCCCUAUUGGAUAUUCAGAUGGGAAUAUCAUGAAGGCAGUUGGGUGUAUGAGUUUGGACUUUGGAAAUAAGUCCAAACUACAGACAUAAUUUGAAAGUAGUCAGCAGUUAGAACUUAUGUAAAAAUCACAAGUAUGGUUGAGAUUAUCAGGGAAAUGAAUUUGGAAAGAAACAGUAAAUUCAAGGGUUGGGCUCUAGAUAAUUUCAGUGCUCCUGGUGGCCAAGGAGCUAAGAGAAACCCAUUGACACUGAGAUAAAAUAGUCAAAGUUGUAAACAGAAAAUUGAGAGAAUGGUGUCCUGGAAGCCAAACGAAGGGACUAUUUCAAAGGUGAGGACAGGUAAUUGUAACUGAUCAAUUUAUAAAGAGCAUUGAUUAAACUUAAAUAUCUAAAUGUCUAUUUGCAUCAUUCUACAAAUCAAAGUAAAACUUCUACAUGCUAUAGAGUUUAGGCUAUAAUGGAAAUUGGUAAGCAUAAGCUUUCACUAAAAUCUUUAGAAGUACAUUUUCAGGGAAAUUGUUAUUUGAUGAAUAAUAAAAUGUGUUAUCACGAUAGUAAAUUUAUGUGGUUUUCUUCACUACAGAUAUAAAGUUUCAACACAAAAAUAGGGUGAAAUUCAAAGGCUGUCCUAACUCCUACAAACCCCUUGUAAAUCCCCCCCCUAUUAAGAAAUCUUAAAUUCUCUCCUUAUUCAUUCCUUUCACAGUAAGACUCAAAAUAUCAUUGUAAUUUUGGAGUAAUUUUCAACCAAUAUAAAAUUUAGAAUGAAUUCUUCCUUCCCCCUUAACAGAGGCUUAGGGAGAAUGGGACACAGGACAGGUUGUGUUUGCUUUUGAGGAAAGGAUGGAGCAUCACAUAAACAGAGCUCCAAUGGGACCAAAUGAAAUAGAAGGCCUGAGAAGGGUGAGAAGACUGAUGAAUAAGAAAAAUACAAAACCUAUAGGAGUGUAGGCAGAAAAGGAGAGCUUCAAGAAUUUGUAGGGGUUACUAUCAUAAGCAUGGUUAACCUUGCUGUAUAUCAGAAUUGAAGUCAGUGGGUGAAAAUACAAAGGAACAUACAUUGUUUUUAAAAAGUAACUGUAUAUUGUUCAGAGAUAGAAUCAUCUGCCUUAGGAGGAAAUGGGUGAAUCAGUGCCGCAAGAGGCUACUAAUUAUCAGUCAUUUUAAAUAAAGAAUUCCUAGGUGGAUGGUUGGGUUAAAUAACCACAAUAGCAAUUUCUAUUCUGAGAUUUCAUGAUUGUGUCAACCCAAGCAGAGGUCUGUGUACUUAACAAUAGUGGUGAGCACUCAGAGAACAAAAGAGCCAUAGAGAUGGAGAGGGAGAAGAGAGAUCCUUGAAACACUUGGGUUUUAUUCAGUUUUCAGUCCAAUGCAUCAAGCAUUUAUUAUCUGUGUUGUGCAACAUAGUAUACUAGGACUGUCACAGUUCACCCCAUGUUGGUUCAUUAAAGGUGUGUUUAUUGAGUAGCUACAAUGGAGUGCAUAUUCUAUUAAGUAGCUGAGAAUAGAAAGAAUACAGCAUCAUAGCCACCUCAAAGGGCUGAAAAUCUAGAAGGGAAGAAGGGCAUAAUAGGGUUUUUUUUUAAUUAUAUUCACAUGACUGUUGGUUCGACUAAUUUUUUUUUUUUGAAAGAGAGCUUGGCCAACCUCAUUGGGGACAGAGAAUAUACAGACAAAGAGGAAACAGUGGAAAGACCAGGGGACAUGUAGCUUGAAGUUGCACAUCUGCCACUUAAUAGUGCAAUGAUUGUUGGGUAAAUUGCAGUCUCUGUUAGAAGCCUCCAUUUCCGCAUCUAUAAAAUGGGGUACACAUUGUUGUAAGGAAUUAGCCCAUUAAAUCCAUAAAGGUUGUAAUGAAUUUCUUGUUUGAAAUAGUUGGAAGAGUAAUAUAAUUGCAGUCUUGAUGUUUUAUAGAAAUAUGAAAUGUAUAAAAAAUAGCAACUUACAGAAACAUAGCUGGCAUUAAUAUAAUCUGAUCCUGGAAUACUAGCAUCAGCUAUCAGCUUCACUCUGUUAUUAUUGUCUAGAAGAAAAUACAAGAAAUUAGUGCUAAUCAACUUUUUAAGUUGCUACUACUUUCUUACUUUAAAAGUAAUUCAGGGAGUUCCUGUCGUGGCUCAGUGAAAACGAAUCUGACUAGUACCCAUGAAGAUGUGGGUUCGAUCCCUGGCCCCGCUCAGUGGGUUAAGGAUCCAGCAUUGCUGUGAGCUGUGGUGUAGAUCACCAGUGUGGCUCAGAUCCCGCAUUGCUGUGGCUGUCGUGUAGGCUGGCAGCUGUAGCUCUGAUUGGAUCCCUAGUGUUGGAACUUCCAUAUGCUGCAGGCGCAGCCCUGAAAANAAAAAAAAAAAAAAAAAAAAAAAAAAAAAAAAAA